GCUUUCAACAGUUUAUUUACAUAUUUAAUAUUCACAUCCUAGUAUUGUUUGUUGUUCCUAAUAAAGAGUAUUAUAUCUCAUUCUCUAAUGUCAGAACUUUAGAAUUCUAGUAAGGUCCAGAGCCGUGCACAGGAGCGUGGGUUAUGAAGCUGUUCUUUAAAAUUUUGGGGAAACCCUAUUCCAAAAUGACAGCUGUGCCCUCCACUCGUUUUGGGAACUCCCAAGGAGAGUCCCGGGGGACAUUUUCAAAAGAGCAGCUAUAGCGUUUAACAAGCACUUAAUUGAUGUCUCCUUUUGAAUAGCGCUUCCCCUGAUUCAAGCAGCUCGGCACCGCAACAGUAAAAACAUCAGUAAGUGAAGAAGCUGGCGACACUGACAAACAGAAAGCAGAGCCCGUCGAUGGCUUUUUUCCUGAGUUUUAAGUGGAGAGGCUGGCUGCCUGUCUUUAGGGAGAAACACUCUCUAUCACCGUUCAUUCAAUGCGGCUGAUGGAUUAGGCCGAGUUCAAGGGUUAAGUAUGGAGACCAGUAAAGGUCUCCCUCGGGGAAAGUGCCAGAGCCCAGGCCUGGUGAAAAGCAAUAGGAAUUGAUGAGCUCUGUCAGGGAGGAUGUGCGGGAGAUGCAUGGUGGCUGCAGGGGUUUAAUGGGGGUAUCAGACCUAAGCAAAACAGAGUGUAUAAAUCAAUUAGCUACAGCUGGCACAGGGGAAAGUGCUGAAAUUUAUCCCCAAUAGUUAUCUUGCCUUUGGGAGAAAGGUAACCAACCAUCUUCUUUAGUUGAUUCAGGAUUUGUUGAAUUUGAGAUUCUACGAAAUCAGGAAAUGUUAGGAAGUGAAGUCAUAUUUGGUACAUAUAUUUAUUAUAGGAAUUUAUUUUCUAACCUUGAAAAGUGGACUUUAAGGGGAAGGAAUAGGAAUCCCCCUACCACUGCCACCACCAAAAAUUAAAAGCUCAAGUUUUCCCGGGUUUGUUUGUUUCCUCCCAAAUAUAUAUGUGUAUAGCUCCAUUUGAGUGUAGAAAAUUGUUAGGAAAUAUGCUGGCGUGUCAGUAUAGUUCUUGGCCAGCGGGAGGCUUGAGAAUAGCUCAUAAAGCAUACAUUUAUCCCAUUUUUUAAAAAAGCAAAUUACCUUGUUUCUCUAGCCAGUUCAUGGCUUAAAGAUCAGUCUUUUUCUGCCAGUAUUUUCUCUCUUCAUUGCCUAUAAUAGCUUCAAAUUAUGCCCAUGUGUUUGUUUUUGUGGAAAAAAGGGAACACUCAGAAUGGUAUAGCCAAGACAGAGAGCUACCUCUUCUUGCAGAGUCUCAGCUCCAGCGUCACAAAGCAGGUGUGGGGUUGUGAGACAAUAGCUUAAUAACUAGCACAGUCUACCCCUUUGGCUUCUCAAUGUCCAUACACAGCCUUCUACAUGGAUUUGAACUUCAUUCAGCAAUAGUAACAACUUUAUUCUUCCACUUAGAAGAUGCAGCCAUCCCCUAUACAAAUAAAGAUUUCUCAUUCUCUCCCCCAAGGAGGAGACACAAAGUCCCAGUGGUCAUAAUAUUAACUUCUGGAAGAUCAAGUAAGCACAUUUCACCCUAUUCCUGGAAGAGGAAGACAGACUGGCUAGGAACGUCAGGACUUGAGGGAUGUCCCAGCAGUGAGUUCCCGUGGGUUUUUUUCCUCCCUUUCUCCCUUCCUCUCUCCCUUCCCUCCACGGUCUCAGUGCUAGAGAAGGCCAUAACAAUUACAGGCAUAGAUAAAAACAAGCAAGCAAGCAAACAAGAAAAACCGACUUUCUCUUGCCAAAGCCUGGGAAAAGGGCAGCCCUUGCAUAUGGAACCCUUUUGACUAUACCCACUGUGCACCAGGCAGACACCACAAAAGAAGCUUUCCAUUACCUCUGCCAGCUAGAUGCUAUGACCUUGGAGAUUGUCAUGCAGAGCCCUGUUGACCUGUGGGGUGGAACCCAGUUGCCCAUCCAGGCCCUGCACUAAGUGAACGUCAGCAAAGAGGCAGCUAUGGAGAUUGGUGGCGAGGAGUCCUGCUCACUGUUCCCAGAUAGCAAAGAGCCAGAGCCUCAUCUCAUCCCAGUUUAAGGGUGGAGGGAAGAUCCUGGAAAGGAGAAGCUGAAAAAGGGAUUCUUUAAAUCUGUGUUUGAGGUCCUGGGCACACUCUCCCCCUCCUCCCUUCAAUCAGCCCGUGCGUAUUACUGACUAGAAUCAAUACAGCAAAAGCUUUGAGAAAUAAACUGUGAUAUAAAACACUACCCAGGUCUCAAAUUAGCCAACACCAAGAUGACACAGAUGCUGGAAUUAUUCGACAUAGAUUUUAAAACUGCCAUCAUAAAAAAAUCCUCUAAUAAGCAAUUAUGCGCACUGGAAAAAGAGAAAGUCUUGGCAGAGAAACAGAAGAUAUAAAGAACCAGAUGGAGAUUUCAGAACUGAAAAAUGACAGUAACCUAAAUUUAAAACUCAAUGGGCUCAAUAGGUGAAUGGAAAUGAUAGGAAGGAAUUGGUGAACUUGAGGAUAAGUCAGUAGGAAUUAUUCAGUCUGAAAAGAGAAAAUAGAUUUAAAAAAAACUGAACAGUACCUCAGAGACAAUCACGAAAAAUAUAACAUCCACAUCAUCAGAGUUCCAGAAGAAGAGAAAGAAUAUGGGACUGAAAGAAUAUUUGAAGAAAUAAUGGCUGAAAACUUUCAGAAUUUGAGCAAGGAUAUUAAACUUAUCAGGAAGCAACAAACAUCCAAAGAAUAAGUUGCCUAAAUUUAUGUAUACACUGAGUAAUCGUAACAUUGAUUCUUAUAUAAAAUAGAAAUAGGAAAAGAAGAGGAGACAAAUUCGUGUAUGUAUGCAAGGAAAGGAGAAAAUAUGCAUAGCCAAUACAUUCUUUGCUUCUGUAGCUUGGUCAUGAGACCAUAGUUGAUAUUUAUAACUUUCCUAUUAUACUACCCAUUCUAUGUUCCCUUUGUUCUCUAGCAUGUUUAUUAUAGACCCAAUUUCUUUAAUAGCUCCAGUACUAUUCAGACUCCUUUAUUUCUUCUUGUAUUAGUUUUUAAUAGGAUGUGUUUUUCUAGGAAUCUGUUCAUUUCAUCUAAAUCAUACAAUGUAUUACUAUAAAGUCAUUUGUCUUAUUUCGUUAAAAGUCUACAGGAUUUGGAAUGAUGUAUUCUUUUUCAUUCCUGAUAUUGGUAAUUUUUGUUUUUCUCUUCCUUGAUCAGCGUUGUUAGAGGUAUAUCAGUGUCAUAAUGUUUUCAAAGAAUCAACUUCUGAUUUGGCUGACUUUAUAUUUGCUUUGUAUUUCAUUAACCAUUAAUUUCUUCUACUUUCAUGAGUUUAAGUUGCUGUUAUUUUUCUAGCCUUUUAAUUUGAUAGCUUAGAUCAUUGAUCUCAAUAUUUUUCUAACAUAGCAUUUAAAGCUGUAAAUUUCUCCUUAAUUAUUGCCUUGGGUAUAUUCCCAAGUUUUGCUGUUAUAUUUUUAUUAUCCUUAAGUUUAAAAUAUAUCCUAACUUGCACUGUAAUAUCUUCUUUAACCUGCAGUUAUAUAAAAGUAUACUGUUUACUUUUGACAGUUUUUAAAAUUCCCCUUUUCUUAUUGAUUUCUGAUUUGAUUCCACUGUGGUCAGAAAAUAUACUCCAUGUGAUUUCGAUAUUUUGAAAUUUAUUGAGCUUAUACGGCCCAGUAAAAGGUCUAUUUUGUUAAAUAUUCUGUGUGCACUAAAAAAGCAUACAUUCUGCAAUUGUAGAUUUAAUGAUCUUACUAGGUCAAUUAAGUAAGGUUAGUUCCCUUGGCACUUUUAAUUUUAAUCUAAAUGUCCCCCCUGCUUGUUUCUCUCUAAAAUAGGCAUCUCUAUUUCUUGUUUAUUUUUUUCUAUAGCCUUUAUCAUUUCUGUCAUAGUUAAAUUCAUGAUCCUAGUUUAAAUAAAAAAUAGUUUAAACAUAUUAUUGAAUUUGUGAGAAUCAAAGAGAAACCAUGCAACAGGCCUUUCUUGCUGUGCCUCCAAAGAAUUUUUAGAGAAAUCUGAAGAGACACAAUUCCCCAUCUGGGAAUUUUUCAGAAAGGGGAAGCCAGCAGUCUUCUAGUAGCUAGAGUGGUUUUAGCAGUCCGGCCUGGAGACAGAAGAACAGAGUAAAUGACGUCCUGCAGUCCCUUCAGGUGUAACAAAUCUAAGAGACCAGACGUGCAGGCAACCCUGCUGAAGUGGUUCCAUGGGAAGAAGUACCAGACUUCUGUACAUACAGCAUGUCAGAUGCCUUCCUUUCCUGUGAAACCCAGAGAGAUCACAUGUGUGAGGAUCCAGGGGUAUUUGGAGGCGAUGGCCAGCAGCAUGUUAGGAGCCAAAGGGCAAAUACAGCUGUCAUGUUAAUGGAGGACAACCAGGGUGGAGUGUGCUGGACCAGGACUCGCUUCGGUCGUGGUUCUGCUGAUGCCUCCUCUGAGGCCUCUCACGUCCACUCAAGCAGCAGAGUUUCAGCCUGAUUUACACAAAUGCGAGGGCAUUUUAAGGCAGUGCUUUUGUCAGAGGUUAGAAGCAUGGAUUUGUAGAGAUUUGCCAUUUGCAUUCAAGCAAUAGUCUUCAUGGCUUACUUAAGGGACAUUGAGCAGAGACUAAAGGGCAGCUCACAGGUUAUUCACUUCUCAAAGCCGUGAGAAGAAAAUGUGGGCCUGACAUAAGAGUUAAGAGGUACAGGAGGAGCGAUGGGGGAAGAACAGCCUGAAAAUGAUAGUGAACCCCAGAAUCCCGUUCCGGGAGGAAGUUGCUAGAGCCGCAGCAGUGCUCUCCACGGCCUUUGUCAGACUGUAGCACAAGUUCGUAAUGUUAGUGCUGCGUGCUGCGGUGUGUCGACGAGGCUGCCGCCAAGAGGGGACCCACCCUCAGGCCUCCCUGCCGAUCUGGCCAGAGCAUCAGAAUCCCAGCAUGCCUCUUAACCUCAGUCCAGAAGCUCAGAGCGCGAAGGGACCCAGAGAUCAUCCCGCCUCUUUCUGCUCUACUGCUGAGGACACUGAGGUGCGAAGAGGUUAAGUUACAUCUUUAAAGUGUUAAAUGCACAUUAAACAUGACCCUUAAAGGCACGACAUAGCAAGUUCUUGGGAACGAAAGGCCGGCCCGUGUAGGAAAGGCCUUUUUUCUUCCACUGUCUGUGACUUGAGCACGCAGACAUUAGGAUUAGAGACCUAAUACUGGGUACCGUUAUUUGCUUAAUUGGAAGAAAACACAAGGGUCAUUUGCCUGUUAAAUGGGUCAUAUUCCCUGUUGGAAGGCAAAGAGCUUUGGGAAAUGUUACAUUCCCUCUCCAGCCCCGAAAUCAGAAGCUAAAGAAUGAUCUUCUCUGGCCCUGCGUGUUUCUGACUUGUUUGACAAGCUCUAGUGAGCUACCAGAUGUUGAAAUUCUUUUCAGCCUGGAAUAAUUUAUUUAUCUGUUUAUGUAUUUCUCCAGGAAAGUAUCUAUUGAGUUCUUGAUACUCAUUUGCAAGGAGCUCCUGGGGGAACAGUAGCAGUGUAUAGUGUUACUCGAAUGUUUGAUUUUUUUUUUCCCCCCAAGUCUGUCUGCUUUUAUUUCAGUCCUAAAGAGCUGGGAAAUAAAAUGCAACUUGUUCCUCCUCCCCUCCCCCGCCUUUAAAGGAGACCGUUUAAAACAUGUGGCAGAAAAUGAGCCAUGCAGACUUGGCUGAAUGUAUGAACCCGUGAAUUUAUUUUUUCUUUUAUGCUUUGAUCCUCAUUUCCAACCAUAAAAAUUAUUAGUAGCACUUAAGUGUUGAACAUUUUUCACCUGAGUGAUGUGAAACACUCUUGGCUAGUAAUACUGGUUAUAAAGUCAGUACUUCGCGUGGGGAAUGGACUUCACGAAGAGCAACUGGAUGUUAUUAGGUGCACAAAAUGCUGAUGCCUUUCUUUCUCUACCUGGGUAUCCCAUGGGCGACAGAGGCUGGGUAAACCUCUUGGAUGCUAAUAAAUUACGAGAAUUUAUUUGUA
Molecule: long non-coding RNA, 5948 nt
Organism: Pteropus alecto (black flying fox)
Lineage: Eukaryota; Metazoa; Chordata; Mammalia; Chiroptera; Pteropodidae
Exons: 2
Source: RefSeq, a predicted model, not a curated record